RNAcentral lists this ribosomal RNA (301 nucleotides) under uncultured bacterium. RNAcentral describes it as "partial 16S ribosomal RNA". It matches the Rfam family "Bacterial small subunit ribosomal RNA", at positions 509 to 807 of the family's 1533-position model. The record is from RNAcentral.
CAGUAGCCGCGGUAAUACGGAGGGUGCAAGCGUUAAUCGGAAUUACUGGGCGUAAAGCGUGCGUAGGCGGCUUCUUAAGUCGGAUGUGAAAUCCCUGAGCUUAACUUAGGAAUUGCAUUCGAUACUGGGAAGCUAGAGUAUGGGAGAGGAUGGUAGAAUUCCAGGUGUAGCGGUGAAAUGCGUAGAGAUCUGGAGGAAUACCGAUGGCGAAGGCAGCCAUCUGGCCUAAUACUGACGCUGAGGUACGAAAGCAUGGGGAGCAAACAGGAUUAGAUACCCCAGUAGUCCCUGUCUCUUAUAC